This 376-nucleotide ribosomal RNA is filed under the name uncultured organism. RNAcentral's name for it is "partial 16S ribosomal RNA". It matches the Rfam family "Bacterial small subunit ribosomal RNA", at positions 527 to 896 of the family's 1533-position model. The record is from RNAcentral.
GUAGGUGGCAAGCGUUGUCCGGGAAUUAUUGGGGCGUAAAGCGCGCGCAGGCGGUUCUUUAAGUCUGAUGUGAAAGCCCACGGGCUCAACCGUGGGAGGGUCAUUGGAAACUGGAGAACUUGAGUACAGAAGAGGAAAGCGGAAUUCCACAUGUAGCGGUGAAAUGCGUAGAGAUGUGGAGGAACACCAGUGGCGAAGGCGGCUUUCUGGUCUGUAACUGACGCUGAGGCGCGAAAGCGUGGGGAGCAAACAGGAUUAGAUACCCUGGUAGUCCACGCCGUAAACGAUGAGUGCUAAGUGUUAGGGGGUAUCCGCCCCUUAGUGCUGCAGCUAACGCAUUAAGCACUCCGCCUGGGGAGUACGGCCGCAAAGGCUG